This 324-nucleotide ribosomal RNA is filed under the name uncultured bacterium. RNAcentral's name for it is "bacterial SSU rRNA". It matches the Rfam family "Bacterial small subunit ribosomal RNA", at positions 28 to 334 of the family's 1533-position model. The record is from RNAcentral.
GAUGAACGCUGGCGGCGUGCUUAACACAUGCAAGUCGAACGGAACUGUUUGGAUGAAGUUUUCGGAUGGAUUUUUAAACAGUUUAGUGGCGGACGGGUGAGUAACGCGUGGGUAACCUGCCUCACACUGGGGGAUAACAGUUAGAAAUAGCUGCUAAUACCGCAUAAGCGCACAGCUCCGCAUGGAGCAGUGUGAAAAACUCCGGUGGUGUAGAGAGUGUCCGCGUCUGAUUAGCUAGUUGGUGAGGUAACGGCCCACCAAGGCGACGAUCAGUAGCCGGCUUGAGAGAGUGAACGGCCACACUGGAACUGAGACACGGUCCAG